UUCUGUAAGCCUGUGAAGGUGAGUUGAGAAGCUUGCUGGAGGUAUCAGAAGUGCGAAUGCUGACAUGAGUAACGACAAUGGGUGUGAAAAACACCCACGCCGAAAGACCAAGGGUUCCUGCGCAACGUUAAUCGACGCAGGGUUAGUCGGUUCCUAAGGCGAGGCUGAAAAGCGUAGUCGAUGGGAAACAGGUUAAUAUUCCUGUACUUCUGGUUACUGCGAUGGAGGGACGGAGAAGGCUAGGCCAGCUUGGCGUUGGUUGUCCAAGUUUAAGGUGGUAGGCUGAAAUCUUAGGUAAAUCCGGGGUUUCAAGGCCGAGAGCUGAUGACGAGUCGUCUUUUAGAUGACGAAGUGGUUGAUGCCAUGCUUCCAAGAAAAGCUUCUAAGCUUCAGGUAACCAGGAACCGUACCCCAAACCGACACAGGUGGUCGGGUAGAGAAUACCAAGGCGCUUGAGAGAACUCGGGUGAAGGAACUAGGCAAAAUGGCACCGUAACUUCGGGAGAAGGUGCGCCGG
RNAcentral lists this ribosomal RNA (517 nucleotides) under Pseudomonas aeruginosa. RNAcentral describes it as "partial 23S ribosomal RNA". It matches the Rfam family "Bacterial large subunit ribosomal RNA", at positions 1239 to 1754 of the family's 2925-position model. Lineage: Bacteria; Pseudomonadati; Pseudomonadota; Gammaproteobacteria; Pseudomonadales; Pseudomonadaceae. The record is from RNAcentral.